UGGGGGAUAUUGGACAAUGGGGGGAACCCUGAUCCAGCGACGCCGCGUGAGGGAAGAAGGUUUUCGGAUUGUAAACCUCUGUCGACAGGGAAAAUGAUGAUGGUACCUGUGGAGGAAGCCACGGCUAACUACGUGCCAGCAGCCGCGGUAAUACGUAGGUGGCAAGCGUUGUCCGGAAUUACUGGGUGUAAAGGGAGCGUAGGCGGGACGGUAAGUCAGAAGUGAAAAUUAUGGGCUCAACUCAUAACCUGCUUUUGAAACUGCUGUUCUUGAGUGAAGUAGAGGCAAGCGGAAUUCCUAGUGUAGCGGUGAAAUGCGUAGAUAUUAGGAGGAACACCAGUGGCGAAGGCGGCUUGCUGGGCUUUUACUGACGCUGAGGCUCGAAAGCGUGGGGAGCAAACAGG
RNAcentral lists this ribosomal RNA (404 nucleotides) under uncultured bacterium. RNAcentral describes it as "bacterial SSU rRNA". It matches the Rfam family "Bacterial small subunit ribosomal RNA", at positions 355 to 776 of the family's 1533-position model. The record is from RNAcentral.